UGAGUACAAGAUGCUACGGCAUUGAAGCAGUCUAUGUCAUACUUCCAAGAAAAGCUUGCAAUGUCAUAAACAAAUAAUGCCUGUACCAUAACCGACACAGGUGGGUAGGUAGAGUAUACUAAGGGGCGCGAGAUAACUCUCUCUAAGGAACUCGGCAAAAUGACUCCGUAACUUCGGGAGAAGGAGUACCUUAUUUUAUAAGGUUGCAAUAACAAGGUCCAAGCAACUGUUUACCAAAAACACAGGUCUCCGCUAAGUCGUAAGACGAUGUAUGGGGGCUGACGCCUGCCCAGUGCCAGAAGGUUAAAGAAGUUGGUUAGCAUUAGCGAAGCUGAUAACUGAAGCCCUGGUGAACGGCGGCCGUAACAAUAACGGUCCUAAGGUAGCGAAAUUCCUUGUCGGGUAAGUUCCGACCCGCACGAAAGGCGUAAUGAUUUGGAUACUGUCUCGGAGAGGGGCUCGGUGAAAUAGACUUGUCUGUGAAGAUGCGGACUACCUGCACCUGGACAGAAAGACCCUAUGAAGCUUUACUGUAACUUGAGAUUGAAAUUGGACUUUAUUUGCGCAGUAUAGGUGGGAGACCUCGAAAGUAUUCUUGCGGGAAUAUUGGAGUCAUCAGUGAGAUACCACUCUUAUAAUGUUAGAUUUCUAACUUUGUAUCAUUAUCUGGUCAAAGAACAGUUUCAGGCGGGCAGUUUGACUGGGGCGGUCGCCUCCCAAAUGGUAACGGAGGCGCACAAAGGUUUCUUCUGAACGUGUAGAAAUCGUAUCUAGAGUGUAAAGGCAUAAGGAAGCUUGACUGUGAGACCUACAAGUCGAGCAGGGACGAAAGUCGGUCUUAGUGAUCUGACGGUGCUGAGUGGAAAGGCCGUCACUCAACGGAUAAAGUUACUCUAGGAUAACAGGCUGAUCUCCCCCAAGAGUUCACAUCGACGGGGAGGUUUGGCACCUCGAUGUCGGCUCAUCGCAUCCUGGGGCGGUAGUACGUCCCAAGGGUUGGGCUGUUCGCCCAUGAAAGCGGUACGCGAGCUGGGUUCAGAACGUCGUGAGACAGUUCGGUCCAUAUCCGGUGUAGGCGUUAGAAUAUUGAGAGGAGCCUUCUUUAGUACGAGAGGACCGAGAAGGACAUACCUCUGGUGUACCAGUUAUCGUGCCAACGGUAAACGCUGGGUAGCUAUGUAUGGAGAGGAUAACCGCUGAAAGCAUCUAAAUGGGAAGCCCACCUCAAGAUAAG
This 1234-nucleotide ribosomal RNA is filed under the name metagenome. RNAcentral's name for it is "bacterial LSU rRNA". It matches the Rfam family "Bacterial large subunit ribosomal RNA", at positions 1564 to 2808 of the family's 2925-position model. The record is from RNAcentral.